Molecule: ribosomal RNA, 465 nt
Filed under: uncultured bacterium
Lineage: Bacteria
Description: partial 16S ribosomal RNA
Rfam family: Bacterial small subunit ribosomal RNA
Source: RNAcentral
GACGAACGCUGGCGGCGUGCUUAACACAUGCCAGUCGAACGGAAAGGCCCCUUUGGGGGUCCUCGAGUGGCGAACGGGUGAGUAACACGUGAGUAACCGGCCCUUGACUUCGGGAUAACUUCAGGAAACUGGGGCUAAUACCGGAUAGGAAUCCUUGCUGCAUGGUGGGGGUUGGAAAGUUUCGGCGGUUUUGGAUGGACUCGCGGCUUAUCAGCUUGUUGGUGGGGUAGUGGCUUACCAAGGCUUUGACGGGUAGCCGGCCUGAGAGGGCGACCGGCCACAUUGGGACUGAGAUACGGCCCAGACUCCUACGGGAGGCAGCAGUGGGGAAUAUUGCACAAUGGGCGGAAGCCUGAUGCAGCAACGCCGCGUGCGGGAUGACGGCCUUCGGGUUGUAAACCGCUUUCAGCAGGGGCGAAGCUUGUGGUGACGGUACCUGCAGAAGAAGCACCGGCUAACUACGUG